This 74-nucleotide transfer RNA is filed under the name Allopseudospirillum japonicum. Its description in RNAcentral is "Pseudospirillum japonicum tRNA". It matches the Rfam family "tRNA". Rfam says of the family: Transfer RNA (tRNA) molecules are approximately 80 nucleotides in length. Their secondary structure includes four short double-helical elements and three loops (D, anti-codon, and T loops). Further hydrogen bonds mediate the characteristic L-shaped molecular structure. tRNAs have two regions of fundamental functional importance: the anti-codon, which is responsible for specific mRNA codon recognition, and the 3' end, to which the tRNAs corresponding amino acid is attached (by aminoacyl-tRNA synthetases). tRNAs cope with the degeneracy of the genetic code in two manners: having more than one tRNA (with a specific anti-codon) for a particular amino acid; and 'wobble' base-pairing, i.e. permitting non-standard base-pairing at the 3rd anti-codon position. Lineage: Bacteria; Pseudomonadati; Pseudomonadota; Gammaproteobacteria; Oceanospirillales; Oceanospirillaceae. The record is from Rfam by way of RNAcentral.
GUCCCCGUAGCUCAAUUGGAUAGAGCAAUCCCCUCCUAAGGGAUAGGUUGGAGGUUCGAUCCCUCUCGGGGACG